This 64-nucleotide ribosomal RNA is filed under the name Tetradesmus bajacalifornicus. RNAcentral's name for it is "Acutodesmus bajacalifornicus partial 26S ribosomal RNA". Lineage: Eukaryota; Viridiplantae; Chlorophyta; Chlorophyceae; Sphaeropleales; Scenedesmaceae. The record is from RNAcentral.
UUUGUUAGAGGCCAAGCAGGAAACAUGCUUUGCAUGUCUUAAACUUUCGACCUGAGCUCAGGCA